RNAcentral lists this ribosomal RNA (269 nucleotides) under uncultured bacterium. RNAcentral's name for it is "partial 16S ribosomal RNA". It matches the Rfam family "Bacterial small subunit ribosomal RNA", at positions 524 to 792 of the family's 1533-position model. The record is from RNAcentral.
UACGGAGGGUGCAAGCGUUGUCCGGAUUUAUUGGGUUUAAAGGGUGCGUAGGUGGUUUGAUAAGUCUGGUUUGAAAGCAAGCGGCUUAAUCGUUUGAUGUGGCUGGAAACUGUUGAACUUGAAUGCGUUGGCGGUAGCCGGAACGGGUCAUGUAGCGGUGAAAUGCAUAGAUAUGACCCAGAACACCGAUUGCGAAGGCAGGCUACUACGACGAUAUUGACACUGAGGCACGAGAGCAUGGGUAGCGAACAGGAUUAGAUACCCCGGUA